GCCUAACUUAUGUGUCAUGCAAAGGAUGGCUCUUGGAAAAAUGCAAAGGAGCAGGGGCCGCUAAGGGAGAGAUGUGAAGGUCAAGGAAGCUCUGAGCUCCUGACAGCCGCCCUUCCAGCCUUCUCCUGCCUUCCAUAGAGAGAUGCUAUGGACUCUUGGUCCAGAGACUCAAAUUCAAGGAAAAGAAGAGGCAACAUUUGCAGUGUUGAUCCUUGAGUUGAACAAAGGGUGGUCAGGAGAAGAAACCAACAAGAAAUGUAACCUACCUCCAGAACUCAGGAACUCAGGUACCCUUAAGGAUAUCAGAAACAAUGAAAUAUGGAUUGGCAGAAGCAUCUUCACCACCAUCUUCAGAUGUAAUUAAUGCAGCUGUUGAAUUUGGUUGACUAUCCACCUAUAAUUACCACAUUGCCCAUUACAGAUUUUUGCUGCCUUAAAUUCUCCCAGAUUGUGAUACCUCAUUUCUGAGGACUUCAUCUUUACCAAAUCUUUCAAUCCAAAGCAAACGAAUACUGAAAAUUCAUGUAUCCAAAGCAAAUGAAUACUGAACAUUCACGUUGAGAUGAUCUUUAAAUGUAAUUAAAUAGAGAUAAUGUAACUAAAAU
This 605-nucleotide long non-coding RNA is filed under the name Homo sapiens (human). RNAcentral describes it as "long non-coding RNA NONHSAT155159.1". Lineage: Eukaryota; Metazoa; Chordata; Mammalia; Primates; Hominidae. The record is from RNAcentral.